AUGUCUAGCGUGUUUCCCGCGUCGUCUCCGUCCUCCUGGAGCCGUCUCCCCCUCCCGAAGCCUCCUCGCUGGCGCUCGUCGCCGUGCGCCCACGGGCGAACUGUAGCCGACCGGCUCUGUUCGCGCCGCGGCGGCUUCCCUCCCUUGUCCCCGAGCUCCGCUCGUCUCUGCGACCACUACGGUCGUCUGUUCCUCCUUCGUCGCCAACCUACGAGCCCAUGCGCGUGCACACGCGUCCGCCGCGCCGGACACGCGUCCGCGGCGACACCCGGCUCGAACCGCCUCGCCCCCUCCUAUUUAAGGCCACCCCGAGGCCGUUUCUCUUCACCACUUGCCUCCUGCACCUCCUAUAGCCCCGCCCCAUGUCUUGCCCGAGCUCAAGAAGCUCUCGGUGCUCGACAUCGUCGGCAUGGCCGCCGCACGGCCUCGGCUAAAUUAGCCCGAAGUCGAUCCCCUCCCUCCGUCCCGUCGACACCUUAG
This 480-nucleotide ribosomal RNA is filed under the name Triticum aestivum (bread wheat). Its description in RNAcentral is "partial small subunit ribosomal RNA". Lineage: Eukaryota; Viridiplantae; Streptophyta; Magnoliopsida; Poales; Poaceae. The record is from RNAcentral.